Molecule: non-coding RNA, 31 nt
Filed under: Mus musculus (house mouse)
Lineage: Eukaryota; Metazoa; Chordata; Mammalia; Rodentia; Muridae
Source: RNAcentral
UAGGUUUGAUGAACCUCAGUGCCCACUGACG